This 616-nucleotide ribosomal RNA is filed under the name Bacillus anthracis (anthrax bacterium). RNAcentral describes it as "bacterial SSU rRNA". It matches the Rfam family "Bacterial small subunit ribosomal RNA", at positions 33 to 631 of the family's 1533-position model. Lineage: Bacteria; Bacillati; Bacillota; Bacilli; Caryophanales; Bacillaceae. The record is from RNAcentral.
AAGCUGGUGGCGUGCCUAAUACAUGCAAGGCGAGCGAAUGGAUUNANAACUUGCUCUUAUGAAGUUAGCGAGCGGACGGGUGAGUAACACGUGGGUAACCUGCCCAUAAGACUGGGAUAACUCCGGGAAACCGGGGCUAAUACCGGAUAACAUUUUGAACCGCAUGGUUCGAAAUUGAAAGGCGGCUUCGGCUGUCACUUAUGGAUGGACCCGCGUCGCAUUAGCUAGUUGGUGAGGUAACGGCUCACCAAGGCAACGAUGCGUAGCCGACCUGAGAGGGUGAUCGGCCACACUGGGACUGAGACACGGCCCAGACUCCUACGGGAGGCAGCAGUAGGGAAUCUUCCGCAAUGGACGAAAGUCUGACGGAGCAACGCCGCGUGAGUGAUGAAGGCUUUCGGGUCGUAAAACUCUGUUGUUAGGGAAGAACAAGUGCUAGUUGAAUAAGCUGGCACCUUGACGGUACCUAACCAGAAAGCCACGGCUAACUACGUGCCAGCAGCCGCGGUAAUACGUAGUGGCAAGCGUUAUCCGGAAUUAUUGGGCGUAAAGCGCGCGCAGGUGGUUUCUUAAGUCUGAUGUGAAGCCCACCGCUCACCCGUGAAGGUCAUUGGAA